UACGUAGGGGGCAAGCGUUGUCCGGAAUUAUUGGGCGUAAAGCGCGCGCAGGCGGUCUUUUAAGUCUGAUGUGAAAGUCCACGGCUCAACCGUGGGAUUGCAUUGGAAACUGGAGGACUUGAGUGCAGAAGAGGAGAGUGGAAUUCCUGGUGUAGCGGUGAAAUGCGUAGAGAUCAGGAGGAACACCGAUGGCGAAGGCAGCUCUCUGGUCUGUAACUGACGCUGAGGCGCGAAAGCGUGGGUAGCAAACAGG
RNAcentral lists this ribosomal RNA (253 nucleotides) under uncultured bacterium. RNAcentral describes it as "partial 16S ribosomal RNA". It matches the Rfam family "Bacterial small subunit ribosomal RNA", at positions 524 to 776 of the family's 1533-position model. The record is from RNAcentral.